UGAGCCUGGAGCAGAAACUACUGAGCGCAGAGAACAUUCCCACUAUAUUUCCAUUUUUCCUUCUGCAGGCAUCUCCUUGCGACUCGUUUGUAGCUCACCUGAGCCUGACAUUUGCCAAGGAAGAUGCAGCGUCUGUUUAUAGCACCUGGAGUGGGAAGUUUGCAUUCCGCAAUCAGGCCCGCUGCUUGAUGGCUAUUCUUAAAGCGGUUAUUCUUCACUCUGUCUGUAUGUGUGAGGAAUGCACAACUAUAUGCCCAAAGUCUCAAGAGAUGUCAAGAGUACCUCGGUGGAAAAAUGUUUUCGAAUAGCUUCCCUUGUACAGAACGUUUGUGUGUGUAUUCAUUUGAGAAAAAAAUUAUACUGCAAUGGCAUAAAAAGCAAUAAAACAUAAAAUAAUAAACCAAAAAACCAAAACAAAAAAUAGGUAUCAAUUUGUCAGUUUGCAUUUCUUAGUGCAGAAAGUAUUGAUCUGAUGUGUAGAGAUCUUUCCUAUUCUACUUAAUUCAAGAGGGUUGUGGAAGCUUCAGGAAGCUUCUCUGUGUGAAAGAAACAAGCAGAAGGUUCAUGAUAUUUGGGUUAUUCCUUCAGAGAAGCUGAGUACAGCUGGCUUAAACUGGUUCUGCUAUCUCUUUCUGUCAAGGUCGUGCUGACUAUAAGUUUCUCUUUCUAUCUCUUUUCCUUCU
RNAcentral lists this long non-coding RNA (683 nucleotides) under Podarcis lilfordi (Lilford's wall lizard). Lineage: Eukaryota; Metazoa; Chordata; Lepidosauria; Squamata; Lacertidae. The record is from RNAcentral.